UUUGUACUGAUUUUCUUUAUUGUUUAGUUUUACAUUUUUUGGAUCUAACUUGAUUGGAUUUUGACAGUUGAGAAGGCCAAGUACUCCUACAUUGUUGGGUUUCUUCUCACUGUUUCACCUGAGUCCAUUCUUCUAGUUGCUGAGCAUGCAGCUGCAAAGAACAAGGUUUGUCAUUGUGGCAGGAGGUUUCAAUAUUCAAAUCCAGUUCAUCCCUCCGUUUAUUUAACAUGCUCCCUUUGCUAGUAGUACAUUUUAAUUCUCUCUAGUCUGUUGGUGGGUUGUUUUGCAGCUUGAAGCUGCUGCAGUCAACUUAGUUGCUGGAGAGAAACCUGGCGAUGUUUACUCAGAAAUUGCUUCAAGGUAUGGUGUAUAAGUAUGUACUGUUAACAUAGGACUUUAAAUUGGGACAAACUGAACAUGAUUUUUUUCUUCUUUAUUUGCAGACUUGUAUACUUUGACAUGCCAUGUAGAUCACACUUGCCUUUAACUGUCCAGAUUUGAGCUUAGGCAACACUUCAGAAACAACCUUCUGCAUGUGGACAUGGUUCAGCCGGUUGUUACUUCCAUUUACGACUAUUUCCGAGAGGAAUGUGAUUUUUGUCUAUAAUGUAUCUCUUGGUUAUUCACUCUAUUGCUUUGGAUAAUUAAUUUUAUCUUUUCUUAUAGUUUUACUGAUAUAAAGUUCUUUAUUUAAAUGGAAUACCUGCUACGACUCAGAGUUGCACAUCAUAGAUGGGAUCCCACAGCUUAUUUUUGUUCGUUCAAGCUACAACAUAGAG
RNAcentral lists this long non-coding RNA (779 nucleotides) under Panax ginseng (ginseng). RNAcentral's name for it is "long non-coding RNA (PGIN_LNC013153)". The record is from RNAcentral. Lineage: Eukaryota; Viridiplantae; Streptophyta; Magnoliopsida; Apiales; Araliaceae.